This is an RNA transcript of Pungitius pungitius (ninespine stickleback), 2115 nucleotides long. It is a transcript of the gene named cilia and flagella associated protein 418, with no coding region annotated. Lineage: Eukaryota; Metazoa; Chordata; Actinopteri; Perciformes; Gasterosteidae. The record is from RefSeq and is a predicted model, not a curated record. The transcript has 7 exons.
UUCUCGCGUUACCGAGCAACGACGAACGCCAUGAGCGAGCUCGCUUGUGAUCGGGCUAGCGUUAGCUAGGUGGUUAGCUCCCCCGAACAUGGACGAAGACGUAGACCUGGACGAACUGCUGGACGAAGUCGAACAAAAGUUCUGUGGCAACGUCUCCGUGUCGUCGUUGGCUCGCGGGGACCCGGGCGAGGCGGGAGAAUGCGGGCGAGACAACGCAGGAGUAAGAAAACACAGGACGACGGGCCCCGAGCCGCCGGCGAGCAGCGCCACAGACGACAUCGAUGCUCUUCUGGAAGAACUCCUGGAGGACGACUUCCCUCAGCUCAAGAGGGAAGCGUUUCCUGAAGGACACUUGGUGGUGGAGAAGAAGCCUUCGGCUCAGUCUGGAGGGAGAAAGUGCUGCCCCGUCUUCGUCGGCGGAAGCUCCGUCCCGAGUGGCGUUGGCACGGCAACGUCCAAGAGGUCAUGUGACCAGCUGAGGUGCACGUCCUGCGACUUCCGCGUACUGACGUUUGACGACCGCGCGUGGGACUCGUCCUGCGACUACCUGUUCCUCAGGAACAACGCCCCUGACCGGGAGAAGCUGGGGGCCCGGCUGAGGAGGAGCGGGGGCUCUCGGGCCUUUGCCUGCCAGUGCAGCUGGUUCUCAGCCGACGGGCCGACGGACCUCAGGGAGCGGCCUGGGCUCCGGUGGGUCUGUGGGAAGCACCAGGCCUGAGGCCAGAGAGUCUGAAACGUCCCACGGGUCAGUGAACGCCCCUCUGGUGAAAACUGACUGAUGACGCUCUGCCAGGCAUGAGCUCCAUCAAUCAUCACGUCACCUGACGAUGAGAGAGUGAACAGAGAAGAAGAGUGUGACACUGAUUCAAAAACACACACGUGUGUUCAUUGAAGCUUUGAAUGAGCUGUUCAGCCACGUUUUCAAUCCGAUUCGUUUCAUUAAACUUAUCAGCCCGAUUUUUCCCUCCAAGAUGAAGCUGAAGUAAUGAACCUUGUAAUGAUGCCGAAUUGAAGAAGUAAAAGUUGUAUUAUUAAUAGGGCCGGGACUCGAUUAAAAAUAUUAAUCGAAUUAAUUAGAGGCUUUGUAAUUAAUUAAUUGAAAUUUAUUGCAUUUUAAUUGCAUAAAUAUUUGACCUGAGAACAGUGAGAAGUAUUUUUUUUCACAUGGAUUUUUAUUUUUGUUCAACCAAUUCCAGGAGACAAGUGUAGAAACAGCAUAUUUAGAAAUAUAGUACUUUCAGAAAUUCAAGUAGCCUAUAGGUAAGUAGACCUUCUUUAAACUAUGUUUUUUUAAGUAGACCAAUACUUUCAAGUACAUUCAGAACAUUGGUUAUUUUUUCAGACGUGGACUUAGUUACCCUGGUCCUUAAACCAGUCAUCUGGUGCAGUGUGGGUUGGGUGUGGGUCCUUGUACGUCCACGCUAGCUGCUAAUUGUGUUGCGUUGAGGUGAUACUUGAGGCUCGAUGUGAAUUCCUUGUUGCACAGCUUGCACACAACCACGCUCUUAUCGACGCUUCCAUCCGUGUGUUUAUUAUAAGAAGAUUUCCCAUUCACGGGGCCACCCGACACGGUCUCGUCAGCUUCUUCGUUCAUGUUCACUGUGGUUUGUUGUUGUCUGAAGUCAUGAACGCUAGUUGGUGCUCCAGUAUAAUCGGUCCCCCCGAAACUCAUCCAGAGAGAAACGUUCCGCGGUGCAAAAAUAAGUGUAAAAAUGCGUAAAAAAUGUUUAAUGUGUUAUUUUUUGUGUAAUUAAUUCAUCUUAAUUCACAUUGUAAUUAAUUAAUCGUAAUUAACGCGCUAAAGUCCCGGCCCUAAUUAUUAACUACAAUAUGGGUGCAUAGCGCUAAAAAUGUUGUGUGGUUUAAAGAGCAAAAAAGCCGGAAAACUUAUUGAUUUUGACUGAAUCUACUCUGGAUAUUCAUGGUCCUCAGAGGAUCCUCUGGGUUACACAUUAUAAAUGUGUACUGCGUAUUUAGUUGAUUUUGUUUGUGUUUGUGGCCUAAAGUCUUCUUUCGUUGUCUUUUUUUUGUACGUCAAUUGAAUAAAAAGAGAUCGUAUUGUGGUUUUACGACAUACUUAAUACAUCUUUUUUCACUUGUGUCCUGGUCACUAGU